AAUCUAUAAUGAACUAAGAAAGUCCAAAUGAAUUUAUUCGUAACACAUGUAAAAUAUAUUUUUAAGUAAAUAAGAGCAACCAAUUGAGUCAUUUAUUUAAGAAAUACUUAUGUACUUAUUGAAUGAUACUAUGUGCCAGGCACUAUUAUACACUGGGAGGAGCCAGUGGUGAAGAAAAUGACAAAGUCUGCUCUCUUGGAGCUUAUAUUCUAGUGGAAAGAGAUCUAGAGUAAACAAACGGGCAAGUAUUUAAUAUGAUGGCAACAAGUACAGUGAAGAAAACUGUAUCAAGGCAAGGGGUUAGAGAGUGGGGCAGCUAUAUGACACAGGGUAGUCAGUGACUGUCUCUUUGAGAAGACAAUGAUAUAUACUUUACAAAGAUAGGCAGCAGAUCAAAUUUGGUCUGUGGGCUGCAGUUGGCUGACUGACCACUGCUCUAAAAUACAAAGGAUAUAAUCAAGAAUUCUUUAACUGAGACAUAGAGACCUGGAGUAGAUUAGCAUUAAUUUUAUUUUGGAAUCACUUUAGAAUUCUGCACACACUGCAAGAUAAUUAGAAACACCCUAGGAUAUUACAACAUAUUACAGGCCAGAGCUGGAGUUACUGCUCAGAAUAAAUGUGUUGAGUUUCCCAAAUGAGAAAACUGGGAAUCAUCAUAGAAGGCUCCCUGUGCCUCGUCCACAUCACCUUCCAUGUUCCACCAGGCUCCAAACCAUUCCACCUCCUAAAUAUCCUGGAGGACAUGAUGGAUAUCCUCCCUCUUUGUGCCACUGAGGGCCAAUUUGCACCAUCCUGUUUCCCUGGUUCUGCAUAACCCAUCUCUUCUAUCCUCAACUUUGUCUUAUUGUCCUGCAAAUACAUUUUCAAAACACAAAUCUUACGUAGGGUAAAAGGAACUGAGAGGAAGCAAACUAUAGUUUAUGGAACUUUUUCCAGUCAUUCAUGUCACAAAUUCGCUGAACAUGCACUAUUUUGUUUAACCUUUAUAGAGCCUUAUAAUGAUCCUUUAGGGAGGCUGUUAUUUAGCCACAUUUAAAUAACACACCUAUAGGCAUUCACAUUCAUAAAUGGCUGUGAAUGAAUGCAUAAAUGCAUUUUUAGUUAUUAUAUAGUCAGUUUUUACAUAUAAUCCUUUCAUGAAGUCAUUUUCCUGAGAGUAUGGGAAUGUUCAAAGGGCUAUCAUGAAACGUUCUCAACCUGUGCAAUUGGAGGGUCUUGAGCUCAAGGGGGAUCCAGAGCUCAGCUCAACAUUCACCAGACAGGGAAGUGACUUGGAAGGCACCAGCAUUCUGAGGUUGGCCUUGUAAGGUAAGGUGUUCACUGGAAGUAUAGGGAAGGUGGCAAUAGCGACAGAUAAACAAGAAGGCUGAUGAGAUGCCAGUGAAGAUGUUAUGGACCCGCAGAGCUGAAAUACAGUUGCAUCUGACACCAGUGCUUUGAAAUUUUGGCUACUUGUAUGCUCUUGGCUUUGCCUAUACUAUUUUUUAAGGAUUUAUGUAAAGUUUGUUGUUGGUUUUGCUUUUUGAAUGUUAACCAGUUUCAACUGUGGUGAGUCAAUGCAAAAAAAAAAAAAAAAAAAGUUUUUGGUUCAAGCCAGGGCCCCAGUUCUCACGAGGCUACAGGAUAUCUCCAGGAAAGACAGAAGGUUGAGUCUAAGUCUCCCAGGGACCUUGGGAAUCACAGAGAGUGGUAUCACCAAAAAAAAAAAAAAAAGCAGCACAGGAUGAGGUCAUGGUGACUACUUUACCGCAGGAGAUUCUAGAGGAAAUAACUUAUUUAAAAUGCCCAGUACAUAAAUUAUGUUUCAACAUUUGGUAGCUGGAAAGAUUCACUGAAGUGUUUGCUUACUGAUUAUUAACUAGUAAAAUGAGGCUAAUAAAGUUAAGUUACAUGUAAGGGCAAUUUAAAUGUAAUCAAAAUGGACAUAAAGUAUUUUUUAAAUUAUAAUGUGUCAAUGCAAAAAUAUGUUUUGAUUCAUAGUCUACACAUUGUUUCAUUUGGGUAAAAUGUGAUAUACUCAUAAUGAUUAGUGCACAUGAAUAGAGGGAAGUUCAGGCUGUUUAUUAUAUACUCAUACUUAUAAAAUGUUAUACACUCACAACUUAUACUAUACUUUAAGAGUAUAAUCAGAUUUUAUGGUAUAAACAUCAGUAAGUAUUUGGUACUGAUAAUAAGUCAGAAAAAUACUUAGAAAUGCAUACAAACCCUUGACUAUUGCCUCUGGUUAAAUAAAUAAUAAUGAAUUCUAAAGUCAGACUAAAAUACAUUUUCCAACAACCAAAACCUAUGGAAAUAGUCCUAGAAGAUUUUAUAAUAAGAGUAUAAAUGGAAUGCUUACUUCAUUAGAAGUCACUGUGUAUGCUCUUUACUAUGCGGUGAAAUAUGAUUUGACAUGGUAUGGUCUUAGAAACUAUUCAUGAGUUUUUAGUUACUGAUGUAAAAUGCCUCAUCUCACAGGUGAGGCUGACCUGCUAGCACUGGGACAUGGAGGCUCAGGGAGAGUACAGCAGGGACUCACUAGGGGACUUUGGGAUUCUCUCAAUA
Molecule: long non-coding RNA, 2544 nt
Filed under: Homo sapiens (human)
Lineage: Eukaryota; Metazoa; Chordata; Mammalia; Primates; Hominidae
Description: non-protein coding lnc-SNX7-3:1
Source: RNAcentral